AAAACUUAAGAAAGAAUAUUGAUUCUAUUAAUUU
This 34-nucleotide transfer RNA is filed under the name Adscita mannii. Its description in RNAcentral is "partial transfer RNA-Ser". The record is from RNAcentral. Lineage: Eukaryota; Metazoa; Arthropoda; Insecta; Lepidoptera; Zygaenidae.